Molecule: ribosomal RNA, 459 nt
Filed under: uncultured bacterium
Lineage: Bacteria
Description: SSU rRNA
Rfam family: Bacterial small subunit ribosomal RNA
Source: RNAcentral
AGAAUCAACGCUGGCGGCGUGCCUAACACAUGCAAGUCGCACGAGAAAGGGGAGCAAUCCCUGAGUACGGUGGCGCACGGGUGAGUAACACGUGAAUCAUCUACCUCCGAGUGGGGAAUAACUGAGAGAAAUCUUAGCUAAUACCGCAUAAUACCCACGGGUCAAAGCAGCAAUGCGCUUGGAGAGGAGUUCGCGGCAGAUUAGUUAGUUGGCGGGGUAAUGGCCCACCAAGACGAUGAUCUGUAUCCGGCCUGAGAGGGCGCACGGACACACUGGAACUGAAACACGGUCCAGACUCCUACGGGAGGCAGCAGUGGGGAAUUUUGCGCAAUGGGGGAAACCCUGACGCAGCAACGCCGCGUGGAGGAUGAAGCCCCUUGGGGUGUAAACUCCUUUCGAUCGGGAAGAUAAUGACGGUACCGAUAUAAGAAGCCCGGCUAACUUCGUGCCAGCAGCCGC